CUACGGGCGGCAGCAGUGGGGAAUAUUGGACAAUGGGGGAAACCCUGAUCCAGCAAUGCCGCGUGUGUGAAGAAGGCCUGCGGGUUGUAAAGCACUUUCGGUUGGGAGGACUGCUUCUAGCACUAAUAUUGUUGGAAGUUGACGUUACCUUCAGAAGAAGCACCGGCUAACUCCGUGCCAGCAGCCGCGGUAAUACGGAGGGUCAAGCGUUAAUCGGAAUUACUGGGCGUAAAGCGCGCGUAGGCGGCUAGAUCAGUCGGGUGUGAAAGCCCCGGGCUUAACCUGGGAACUGCAUCCGAUACUGUCUAGCUCGAGUACAGGAGAGGAGAGUGGAAUUCCACAUGUAGCGGUGAAAUGCGUAGAUAUGUGGAGGAACACCAACGGCGAAGGCAGCUCUCUGGCCUGAUACUGGCGCUGAGGUGCGAAAGCGUGGGGAGCAAACAGGAUUAGAUACCCGAGUAGUC
RNAcentral lists this ribosomal RNA (464 nucleotides) under uncultured bacterium. RNAcentral's name for it is "partial 16S ribosomal RNA". It matches the Rfam family "Bacterial small subunit ribosomal RNA", at positions 339 to 795 of the family's 1533-position model. The record is from RNAcentral.